This 24-nucleotide non-coding RNA is filed under the name Mus musculus (house mouse). Lineage: Eukaryota; Metazoa; Chordata; Mammalia; Rodentia; Muridae. The record is from RNAcentral.
UGGUUGUGUGAAGGCUGCCUGAGC